AGAGUGCUCGACCAACUUGUUGCAUAGUCGGCCGAGAUUGGGGAUUAACACGCAAGCAUGCAAAUGCUAACUUCACUACAGCCACUAUUUCCUCGGCCAAUUGAUUCACAGGAGGUGAGGGGCGCUGGUCCAUCACAUCAUUCAAUAGGCGAUGGUCCACAGUUGAUGGUGAUGAGGAUGAUGAGGACGCUGACCAUAACAGGGACGAGAUGAGUUCUCCAGGAUGCUUUCCCAUAAUUACUUCCAAUGUUACCACUCCGAAGCUAUAAACAUCAGUUUUAUUAUCAACCUUCAUCGUGUAAGCAAGUUCUGCAAAGAAGAUUUAAUCAUGCUCUGUUCUGCUAAGCAAUUAUAAGAGUCUUAUAUAUGAUGUAUAGAGGCAGUUUAGAGGUAAGCAAGGAACUAAGAAAAUUGUACCUGGAGCAGUAUAACCAAAAGUUCCUGCAAAUGAAGUCCAAUUAGAUGAGUCCAACUUUAAAAGCCUAGCCGUGCCAAAGUCAGAUACAUGAGCCUCAUAUUCUGAAUCUAACAAAACAUUGUUGCUCGAUAUGUCUCGAUGAACUAUAGGAGGUGAGCAAUCAUGGUGCAUGUAAGAUAAAGCUUUAGCCACGCCUUUAACAAUGUUUAGCCUCACAUUCCAAUCUAAUUUUUCUGCUUCUUCGUCGUUGCUUAGAAUGUUUCGCAAGCUCCCCUUUUCCAUAAACUCAUAAACCAAAAAUGAGAUCUCUGCAAAUGAACUGAAGCCAUAAAGCUUGACGAUGUUGCGAUGCCUUAUCUGUGUUAAAGCAUGAAUCUCGCUUUUGAAAGCUUUCAAAUCAGCCAUAUCUCCAUCUUGUGAUGAGUGAAGUUUUUUCACAGCAACAACCCGGCCUGUUGGCAACUCAGCCUUGUAAACAGUACCAUAUCCUCCAGUGCCGAUACACUGUUUCGAACUGAAAUUAUCGGUCCCCUGUAUGAUGUGCUCAUACAACAAUUCUCCAUCAUGGCCCCAUAUUGCAAAUAGAUCUUCAACAUCUGCUUCUGGAGACUUGGUUUUUCUCUUCCUCAAUUUUUGGAAAAGAAAAUAAAUGCCAAUAAUAAAAGAAAAUAAGAGCAAUAGAGUGCUCACAAUGAGGAGCACCAUGAUCAAAACAUAAAACUUGUUGGGCCUCUUUCGACUAGCACUGCAUGGCUUGAGAUGAGUGACAUUAUUUCCACACAGACCUUUAUUAUUUUUGAAUGCCUCAAAUGGAGUGAAAGCUUUGAUGUUGGGGAGAGGACCUUCCAACUGAUUGUAGGAUAUAUCAACAACUGUCAGGCUUAUCAGAUCAUCAAAAGUGUGUGGGAUGGUGCCAGAGAGCCCGUUAUGGGAGAGAUUCAACGUUUCCAGGUUCUUUAAUUCUCCAAGCAGCGGUGGAACCUCUCCUGUCAACAUAUUUUGACUAAGAUCGAGACUUUCAAGAUUUUGCAUCUUUCCAAUUUCGUCAGGAAUGCUAUCCACAAAUCUAUUCUCGCUCAAGUUGAAGAACUGUAAUUUCAAGAAGUUUCCCAGCUGUUUGGGAAUUGGACCGCUUAAGUUGUUUGAUGCCAAGUUAAGAAUUUCAAGAUUGGAUAAGUUUCCCAAUUCCAAAGGAAUACUGCUUGAAAGAUUGUUGUCUCCUAACAACAAUUUGAACAAUAAUGGCAACAUUCCCAACUCUUUUGGGAUCUUCCCACUUAGAUGAUUGGCGGAGAGAUCAAGUUGUUGCAGUUGAAUUGCUUUCCCAAGUUGAGGCGGUAUAGCACCAGAAAUAUUGUUGUUGGAGAUGUUCAGGCUUGUGAGCAUGUGGCACUGCCCCCAUUUCUCAGAAAGCUCACCAUAAAAAUUGUUGCUGCUUAGAUCAAUAUAAUUUAGGGUCGGGUACACACCAAAACUUUCGGCUAUGUCUCCCGUCAGUUGGUUUCUUUCAAGCCUAACUCUGAAUAAACUAGUGCAAUUUUUCAAGCUUUUUGGAAUAGGACCAGUGAAAUGGUUUCCCAUAGCCGUAAAGUUUUCAAGAACACUACCAAGGCAUAUCUCUUGUGGUAGUUGGCCAAUGAAGUUGUUCUCAGAUAACUGUAAAGAUUUCAAAUGAGUGAUAUUAUUCAUUUCAAGAGGAAUGGCACCACUAAGCUCGUUGUGAUUAAGGAACAAAAAGGUUAAGCUAGACAAGUUUCCUAUGGAAGCUGGUAUUGAACCGUUAAGAUUGUUGAAUGACAAGUCAAGAUCAUAAAGCAAUCUCAACAAUCCAAUUUCUUGAGGUAUUGAACCAGAAAGCUCGUUCUCAAAAAGAUAUAAAGUGGUUAAGUUCCUCAAGUUACCUAUGGAAGGAGGGAUUGGACCAGUGAGAUUGUUAUGUGAUAAUUGAAGAUCAUUAAGAGAUCUUAACAAUCCAAUUUUUUGAGGGAUGGAACUAGAAAGCUCGUUCUUAAAAAUAUGCAAAGUGGUUAAGUUUCUCAAGUUUCCUAUGGAAGGAGGGAUUGGACCAAUGAGAUUGUUAGAUGACAACUCAAGAGUGAGAAGGUUAGGGAGUGAAGAGAAAUUGAGAUUGUGGAGUGUACCUCUCAAACAGCAACUGUGAAGGUCUAAAUCGGAGACACUUCCUGACUUGUGACAAGUCACUCCAAACCAAUGAUGGCAAGAAUUGCGUCCAGACCAAGAAGAGAGGAAAGAUUGGGUUUGAUUAUCAAGACUGGCCUUCCAUGUUAGAAGAGUGAGUGCUUCUUGAUCUUGUUCAACUUUCAAAAGAGAAGUGGUAGGGGUAGAGGCAGAAGUAAAAGUGACAUGGAAUAAUGAUAUUGAGUAUAGAAAUAAAAGGAUGAAUAUGAAGAAGCAAGGAGUGAUGAUGAGUUGGCGGAGUAAGGAGAAAGAUGAAGAAUAUUCAAGGCCCAUUAUUGAAUUGGUAGAAAUGAAGAUGAAACACUUAUUUAUAGACUUAAAUGUGAUACAUCCAACAUUUCCAUUAGUUGAUGUUGACAUCUAACCACCUACUUCGUCUACGAUUAAUGGAACUAAAAAGGAUUAUAUACAUGAGUUCAAUUCCACACUUAUUUUAUUUUAUUUUAUCAAAAUGCUCUUAAUUUUUUAAUUAAAAUUUACACCUACAAUUACAUAUGAAAUAAUUAAAAUAUUUCUUUUUCACUUCGUGCACUUUUAAAUAUAACUUGUUUAAAAUUAAUAAUUACAAUUCAUUUUAAGAAGUAGGGACAAAAUAUGCCCACGUCAACAACCUAGUUGAUAUAGGAAGUCCACUUCAACCAACAUUACUUGUACAUAUGUCUUUAUAUAAAACACUUAAUGUAUUUUUUUUUUUCAAAAAUUCAUAAAUAUAAACGUAAUUUUAUUUACAACAAAGUUGCUAUAUUCCUAUACUAAAUUUUAUAAAAAUGACAUUUAAAACUUUAAUUUUCUUAAUCUAUUUUUUAAAUAAUAUUGUAAUGAAAGAAAAAGGGAAGAAGAAGUAUAUAUAUAUGUGUGUGUGUGUGACUAAAUCGAGAGAGAGAGAGAGAGAGAGAGAGAGAGAGAGAGAGAGAGAGAGAGAGAGAGAGAGAGAGAGAGAGAGAGAGAGAGAGAGAGAGAGAGAGAGAGAGAGAGAGAGAGAGAGAGAGAGGAAAAUAAGAAAAUUGAAUAACUAAAUAGAUAAAUGAAAUUCAAUCACUUUAAGAAGUUUACACCUAUUCACCAAAAAAUAGAAAAUGGGUAAAUAGUAAAUACAAGAAAAUUAGAAAUUCAAUUACUCCUGAAAAUGAUGAUUGACCAUGCCUUAUAGGAUUUGAAAUCUUUAACAAAACUCAAUAUCAAUUUUAAGCAUCAAUGAAUGAAAUAAUAAUAAUAAUAAUCAUAUGGGGCUUAGGUCAUAAAUUUUAUUUCAAAAUCAUUUAAGAUAUAAAUCAAUUAAAACUAAAUUUUUAAGUUUAUAAAUUUUAAAUUCCUCCCUUACUCACUAUUUGGAUUAAUAAUCAAAUUGCUUAGGUCAUAAAUUUUAUUUCAAAAUCAUUUAAGAUAUAAAUCACUUAAAACUGAAUUUUUAAGUUUAUAAAUUUUAAAUUCCUCCCUUAAUGUUUGGAUUGAAUUCUUUUAACUAUUUUGCCCUAUGAGAAAUAAACUCUUUUUAACUCUAUUAGUUCUUUCAUAAUUUUUAUCCUUACAAUAUGAACUAUAUUAUUUCUCUUAAUAUUUUAUAGAUCAUUUAUGGUAUAUUUUAAAACCAAAUUAGUUGUCAUUUCUUCUAUUUCUUUCCUAGACAAAUGCAUGAUUUGUGGUCGAUGUUUAUCAUUUUUAUUAAAGGUUUUUGCACUCAUUUGUAAGUGAGACCCAUCACCUAUGAAAAAUAUAGACAUCUUUUUUUUUUUUUUUUUCAUUUGGCAGUCUUAAGGAAUUAGUAUUUGGACAAAAACAAGGACUAAGGACUACCAAAUUUUCACUUUGUUGUACAUCCAAAUAAGACACACAAUCAUUUAUGUAUUGUCUAUUUUAGGCCCAAGGAGCUCUCAAGGUUUUAAAAUGCAUCUCUAAGGUUAAGAGUAACCCAACAUAUAUAUCGUUAUGAACUUUGUUCUCUAUCCGAUGUGGGAUGUUAUAAAAGUUGUUCAACAGGAUUAAUACAUUUGUGAAGCUCAGAAGAAUCACAAAAAUCAAAGGAAAAUCUUUUAAGCAUUACAACAUAAAAGAUGCAGGACCCAACCACACAUGCAUUUUCCUUAUCAAACAAUUGUCUUGACAAGCCAUUCUAACCCCACUUGGCUUGCCAUCACUAGUGAUGGACCUACAUCAUUCAAAUUCUCAAUGCUCUUUGAAGGCAAUAUGCGCUUGAAGUCAAAAGAGCUUCGAAUUUUUGUUAGAUAGUUCAUCUUUGCUAUUUGGGAACAUAUUUUCCUUUUCUCUUUUUGUUCUCUUUUUUUUAUUAAUAGAAAGUUUACCCUUCUAGAGUGUAAAAUCCUCUUCAACUUUGCAAUUAGAGUUAAUACAUCUCGUAUUCAAUUCAAUCCUCGUCUUUUUUGACCUCCUAAAUUCUAAACCUUGUCUGGGUUUUCCAGUUUUGUGAAAAAUUACAUCAUGGGGACCUAACAGGAUGGGAUUUGAUUCAAUGUUAAAGAGAAAAUUUUGGAAAAAUCUGCAAAACCCUCAACAGUUGUGGCCAUAGCUCAACACCAAGAUGGGAAUUUACAAUCUAAUAAUGUUGAUGAAUGGUUCAUAGACUGCUCUACAAAACUAGAGUUUGUCGGAAUGCUUUGCCUUUGUUGAAAGAUGUGAAGGUCCUCACAUUCUUGAGCAGGAAGAACCUAGGUCCAAAGUAAUCAGAAAAGGAUAAGAACGCCUAGAUCAUUUCACACUGAAUCACUUUACUCUAGCUACUCUGGUUAAACGGAUUCAUCCCAGAGAAACCCUGUGAAGAUAGCAGCCUUGUUUUAGUUAUAAAAAGAAGAAAUAUGAUCAUUACUUUUGUACAAACAAUGAUAUUUAUUUAGUAAUGUUUACAUAUUCUUAGCAUGUAAAAAGAAGUAGACUUAAACGUUUAAGAACAUUUAGAUACCGGUUUAAGCAAAUAUAUUAUUCAAAGUUAUACAUAUAGCUCUAUUAGAUUUAAGUUAAAUAAAGUUAAGAGUCAAAAUUUAUAUUAAGAAACAAAUGUUACCUGAGAGUAAUUCCUCUUACAUUGUAGCAGAACUAAAAAAAAAAAAAUUAAUUCCUUCAAUAGAAUUUAUAUGAAAACUUCAUUUAUUUUGUGCAUGCAUUAAAAUAAUGAUUUGACUUGAAUUUAUUAACAAACUAAAACAAAAAUUAUUUGUAUUAUUUAUAUAUCAUUAUUAAAAAUUACAUAUUUGGAUAUGAAUAUAGAAUUCCCUUUCUAAUUACAAGUUUUUAAUCAAAACUUUUGUUGUCUUUGAUAGGGUGGAAAUAUUGUUACAUUCCUAAUUCAUAUCAACAAUUGUGUGGAAAAGUCAUUGCAUUCCUAAUUGUUGUCAAUAAUUGUGUGGAGAAGUUGUUGCAUUACUAAUUCUUAUCAACAAUUGCUUUAAAAUUUUUGCUAAAUAAUCCAAGUUCUAGAAAUUAUUGAACUAUCCAUGUUUACUCAAUGACAAGUCUAAAAAUUUAUAAAAAUAAUUUAGAAGUCUAUAACUAACUCAAAUAGUACUAUAGUCCAGGACCCAAAACUUUCUUAGUACAUAAUGUUGAAAAUCUACCAAAUUUUACCAAAUCUUUUCUAUACAAGCCAAAAUUGAAUCAAGUUGAAUUGGAUUCUUUAGUUUCGUUUCAAAUAUACUAAAAUUUAUUAAAAAUAACUAGAGGUAAAGAUUCUUAAUGAAACCAUUCCAAAAUUGAAACUAUGUAAACAUUAUUAACUGGACCCACAAUCUAUUGAAAUAACACAUGGAAAACUUACCAAUUGAUCUUGUUUAAACUUCCUAUUACAAUUUUUUUUUUAAAUAAAUAAAUAAAUAAAUCCCUAGACGGGACUGAAUAUGUGAGGCUCAGAAGAAUCAUAAAAAUCAGACGAAAAUCUUUUGGGCAUUACCACAUAAAAGAUGCAGGACCACACAUGCAGUUUUCUUAUCAACCAGUCAUCUUGACAACCCACUUUGAAGCCCACUUGGGCUUGCCAUCACCAUUGAUGGACUUACAUCAUUCAAAUUUUCAAUGAUCUUUAAACGCGAUAUGUGCUUCAAGUUGAAAAGGAUUGUAGUUUUUGUAAGAUUGUUCGCCUUUGCUAUUUGGGAACUCAUUUUUCUUUUUCUCUUUUUUUUCCAUUUUUUUUUCAUAGAACGUUUACCCUCCUUGAAUUUAAAAUCCUCCGUUCUCUGUUCAGAUUUCAGCUUUGUAAUUGGAAUCAAUAGAUCUCAUAUUCAAUUCAAUCCAAGUGUUUUUCUGGCCUCCUAAAUCCUAAACCCUAUCUGGGUUUUCCAUUUUUGUGAAAAAUUAAAUCACCAGGUCCGGGGCCCAACAGGAUGGGAUUAUAUUCAAUGUUAGAGACAAAAUUUUGUAAAAGUAUAUCUACAAAACCCCCUCAACAGUUGUGGCCAUAGCUCAAGACCAAAAUGGGAAUUUACAAUCUAAUAAUGCUGAUGAAUGCUUCAUUGACUGCUCUAUCAUACUAGACUUUAACUGAAUGCCUGUCAUUUGUCGAAAGACAUGAAGUUCCUCACAUGUAGAUAUGAACAUAAAAUUCCCUUUUCAACUGCACACAUUUGUAAUCAAGACUUUUGUUGUCUUUAAUAGAGUGGAAAAGUCAUUGCUUUACUAGUUCUUAUCAAUAAUUGUUUUCAAGGAAUCUAGACCCAAUAUUCAUAUCAUCAAUGGUAGCCAUCAAUUAUCCUAGUUGAUGUGAGUGGUAUAAUCAAGGUAAAGUAUAUAUGAGCUUGAUGUAUUAAAUCUGACUGUUAAAAUAGAAAGUGAGGAUUGAAUCCAUUGUAUUAAGGCUAAGUAGGGUAUUUUACCUAGAUUAUUUUUUUUUUCUUUUUAAAAGGUAAAAUUUGUAUUAAAACUUCAUCUAUGUCAAGGCAUAGCACAAAUGAAGGGUGGCAUGCUUUCAUGUAGAAAUAAAAUAGAAUUUCAUUUUCUAAAUAGGGUAUUUUACCAUUGUUGUAAAUAAUUUCUUUUACUUCUUCCUUCCUGAGAGUCAAGAACUCGAAGAUAUUUGCUUCCCAAUAUUUCCCAUCCAAUCAUUCCCAUCAAUUCUUCGUGAAGGAUUGGCUUGUAAGAGACGGAUUUUAUUUUAUUUUUUAAAGUAUUUAAAUAGAAACAUGCAAUAAAAUGAUUAUAUUUUUCUUUAAUUUUAUUUUGGUUUCCAAAAUCAUUAUUUCUCAAAUAUAUUAUUUUAAUUAUAUCAAAUAAGAAUAUAUAAUUAUCAUUUCUUAAGAUAGUAUUGUUAAAUUACCAAUCUUUAAAAAUUUCAUUACGGUAACAAAUGUUUAAAAAAAAUUAUUACCAUUUUUUUUAAAACUAUUAGUCUUGAAAUAAUUUGUUUUAAUUGUAUAAAAAGAAGAAAGAUGAUAAUUAUUUUUGUAUAGACAAUGGUAUUUAGUUAGUCAUUUUUAGAUAUUCUUAACAUGUAAAAAGAAGUAGACUUAACAUUUAAGAACAUUUAGAUACCACUUUAAACAAAUAUAUUAUUCAAAAUCAUACAUCUAGCUCUAUUACAUUUAAGUUAAAUAAUGUUAGUCAAAAUUCAUAUUAAAAAAAAAUGAUACCUAAGAGUAAUUCCUAUGACAUUAUAACAUGAACUAAAAAAAAAAAUUCCUUAAGUAGAAUUUAUAUGAAAACUUCAUUUAUUUUAAGCAUGCAUUAAAAUAAUGGUUUAUCUUGAAUUUAUUAACAAACUAAAAAAAAUAAAUUAUUUGUAUUGUUUAUCAUUAUUAAAAAAGAUGUCUUACUUUUCAAUUAAAAUUACAUAUUUAGAAAUGAAUAUAGAAUUCCCUUUCCAAUUGCAAGUUUUUAGUCAAAACUUUUGUUGUCUUUGAUAGGGUGGAAAAAUUGUUACAUUCCUAAUUCGUAUCAACAAUUGUGUGGAAAAGUCAUUGCAUUCCUAAUCCUUGUCAAUAAUUGUGUGGAAAAGUUGUUGCAUUACUAAUUCUUUUCAACAAUUUCUUUCAAGGAAUCUAUACCCAAUAUUCAAAUUAUCAAUAGUAGAUGUCAAUGAUCCUAAUUGAUGUGAGUCAUCUAAUCAAAGUGAAGUGUACAUGAACUUCAUCUAUUAAAUCUUAGUAUUAACAUAAAAAGUAACAAUGGAAUCCUUUGCAUCAAGGCUUAAGGAACAGUAAUUAUAAUGCUAGGAAUCUAGAUUAAUUUUCUUAAGUAUAAAGUAAGUCCAUACCUUUUGUAUAAAAGUUUCUACUUUUAUAUAAAAAUUUCUACUUUUUUUUAAAUAAAAUAUAUUCAAAUGAAACCUAAAUACUUAAAUAAAAAAUAUAUCAAAUAAUAACAUUUAAUUUAAACUAGUAAUUAAAAAUGAUAAAAAACUUAUAAGCAAAAAACUAUACUCAAUAAAGAUUUAAACUAAUUAAGUUCUAAUAAAUAAUUGCUCGUGCUUGACCCGUUUUAAAGCCUUUUCACAACUUGAAAUCAUCUUAAGAAACUUGUCCCAAAGUUUUCACAUGCAUUCAUGACUUUGAUAGGUAGUGUCAACUUCUGAAUACCAAAAACAACCAAAAUAAUUGCUCGUGCUUGACCCGUUUUAAAGUCUUUGCCCAACUUGAAAUCAUCUUAAAAAACACUUGCCCCAUAGUUUUCACAUGCAUUCAUGAGUUUGAUAGGUAGUGUCAACUUCCAAAUAACAAAAACCACUAAAAUAAUUGCUCAUGCUUGACCCAUUUUAAAGUCUUUGUCCAACUUGAAAUCAUCUUAAAAAGUAUUUGUCCUAUAGUUUUCACAUGCAUUCAUGACUUCGAUAGGUAGUGUCAACUUCCGAAUAACAAAAACAACCAAAAUAAUUACUUGUGCUUGACCCAUUUAAAGUCUUUGCCUAACUACAAAUCAUCUUAAAAAAAACUUGUCCCAAAGUUUUUACACGCAUUCAUGACUUUGAUAGGUAGUGUCAACUUCCGAAUACCAAAAACAACCAAAAUAAUUGCUCGUGCUUGACCCGUUUUAAAGUCUUUGCCCAACUUGAAAUCAUCUUAAAAAACACUUGCCCCAUAGUUUUCACAUGCAUUCAUGAGUUUGAUAGGUAGUGUCAACUUCCAAAUAACAAAAACCACUAAAAUAAUUGCUCAUGCUUGACCCAUUUUAAAGUCUUUGCCCAACUUGAAAUCAUCUUAAAAAAUACUUGUCCUAUAGUCUUCACAUGCAUUCAUGACUUCGAUAGGUAGUGUGAACUUCCGAAUAACAAAAACAACCAAAAUAAUUACUUGUGCUUGACCCAUUUAAAGUGUUUGUCUAACUUGAAAUCUUCUUAAAAAAAACUUGUCCCAUAGUUUUCACAUGCAUUCAUGACUUUGAUAGGUAGUGUUAACUUCAUACUUGACCCAUUUUAAAGUCUUUGCCUAUCUUGAAAUUAUCUUAAAAAAAUUAUUCCAUAGUUUUUGCAUGCACUCAUGACUUUGAUAGGUAGUUUCAACUUUUGAAUAACAAAAACAACCAAAAUAAUUGCUCAUGCUUGACCCAUUUUAAAGUCUUUGCGUAACUUCAAAUCACCUUAAAAAACUUGUCCCAUAUUUUCACAUGAAUUCAUUGUUUUGAUAGGUAAUGUCAACUUCUAAACCAAAAUGACUAAAAUAAAACUCGUGCUUAAAUCAUUUUAAAGUCUUUGCCUAACUAAUAGUCUAUUUUGUUAGAUUGUGAAACCUAAAUUAAUGUUGAGGGUUAAGCUCAGCUUGUUAAGAAGUUUUUUUAUUUAUUGAAUGGUGAUUUUGCCAUGUUGAUAUUGUAUUUAACCUUCUUGUAAUUUAGGGUUUCAUGUGAAAGUUGAGAGAAGGAGAGGCUUCCACAUUGUAACCUUUCUAUCUUCUUGUGAUUAAUAGAUUCUUGAGUGUUGGUGCCCUCUAUGGGCGUAGGGAAUUCAUUGAAUUUCGAAUACCACUCUUAUAUGUGGUUGCAUUAAUAAUCUUCAUAGUCUCACUUGCAUUCAUGACUUCAAUAAUUGGUGUAAUGAUGUCAUGACUUAUCUCCUUGAAUUUUCUUUUGAGAAAACUAUUAUAGAGGUGACUAGAAACCUAUCGAAUUUCAGUCCAACCUCACCUUUAGACAAGUUAGGCAAUCCCCUAAAGCACUCACUCCAUAAAAAGCUCCAAUUUUUUUUUAAUUAUUAUUAAUACUUUUUUUCUUGUUUUUUUUAGCUAUUUUAAAUAGUUAUCGAUAGUUUUUUAUUUUAAUUAAGUGAUGAACAAAAAAGAAAAGAAAAGUUAAAAAGAAUGCCCAAACUUUUAUAAUUAUCUAUAUAUAUUUGGCAUUGAGACAUUGAUUCAACUACGUUUACCCAUUAUUGUCAUUAGGAUUUAUUAUUUCAAUUUUAUUAGUCUAUAAAAAAAAUAUAUUGAUUUUAUUUUGAAAACUUAACAGGUUUUAUUAAGUCUUUUUAUCUUUCUCAACUUCGUGGUUUUUAUCUCAUAUUAUCUUUUUCACAUAGUAGAAAAAGAAAAAGAAUUGUAACUCAAAUACACAAAGGAAAUAAACUAUAUGUCCUACAAGUGUAAUUAAUAUAUAAUAAAGAACUCUAGAGCUAGAUACACAUUAACUUGCUCUCUGAAGUUAUUCCACCUUCUCAAUUUGCACACGAGUCUUUACUUGAAAACAUUAAAAUUAAUUGAAAUAACAUAAGAUCUAGUGAAAAGUUGUGAUUCACAAGUGUUAUGAUGGUCAAAAUAAAUUUAGAACAUAUUAAAAUUUAUAAUAGGAUAUAAGAAGUAUAUGAGAUUUAAAAAUAUGUAAUCAUGAUUCUAGACAUAUCUAUGGUCAAUCUAUUAUCUAUACAUAAGCUUACUACUUGUGGCAAUACCACAUCAACAUGAUCUUUAAGAUCUCACUAUCCUAGAUCACAACUCAUUUUUUGGUCAUCCAUCUAAGGACACAAUAAAGCAUAAUUUACCAUUUCAGACUCUACUGCCUAGCUUGAUAUCAAAACCCACAACACCAAUUUAUGGUCCUCCCCCUUACUACAUAAGUGGUGUGGAGUUUUAGAUCAAAACUAAAUGAAACACCCAUUGAUAUACAUGCUAUGUAUCAUACUCAUUAUAUAUUAAUCUCUAAAAUUUUAACAAUUGAUUUAAAAUAUAACAAAGUUAGUUGGUGUUAACAUUGAACCACCUCCUUAUCAUCUAUAAUUAAUCAAAUUGGAAAGGAUUAUAUACAUGAGCUCAAUUACAUUCCAAACUUGUUUUGUUUUAUUUUAUUUAUUUUAUCGAAAUGCUCUUAAUUUUUUAAUUAAAAUUUAUACAUGUAAUUACCCAUGAAAUAAUUAAAAAGUUUCCUUUUCACUCUCUUCUCUUUUAAAUAUAACCUAUUGAAAACUAACAAUUAAAAUUCUUUUUAAGAAGUGAGGGCCAAAAAUUCCUUAACAAAGGCCCACAUCAACAACCUAGUUGAUACAGGAAGUCCACUUGACCAACACAACCUAUACAUAUGCCUUCAUAAAAAAUAAAAAACAAAUAAAAAGUAAAUCUUCUUUGAGUAUGUAAAGCCAACAUGGGAUGGGAGGCAAGUAGGUAGUACAUCAUUAAAAGAAAAGAAAAGACCAAAGGAGGUAGUGAGAUGAUAAAAAAAGACUGGAGAGUACAAAUAUGCAUUUCCAGAAUGUUUGCAACCUUAUAUUGUUCAUCAUGUAAAGAUGUGGGAGUAAAUGGUAAUUGUGGAUACCGAGCUAUAGCCUCUACUUUGGGCAUGGGUGAGCAUGAUUAGCCAUAGGUUAGGCAAGACUUGUUGUGGGAGUUAUAUACAUAUUGUGUAGAGUAUGACAUGUUAUUUUAGGAUAACUUGCUAGUUGAUGAGCUCUUUCAUUCCCUAAAUUUCUUGGAUAAUCCUACUUUGAUUGAUAGAUGGAUCACUACGCCCCAUAUGGGCCAUAUUGUAGUUUCUAAAUACAAUGUUGUUGUCCACAUAUUGAUCUAGCGGUGCCUAACAUUCUAGCGUCUUCGAUUGAUGUUGUUGUCUAUACCUAUACGAAAGAUUAUAUUAAUUGGUUUUGUUAAUAACAAUCAUUUUAAGAAGGCAAUGUCAUGAAUACUACUAUACUUUAUUUCUAAUUCAUUAAUCUUACUUAAUGAAGUUAUUUACUAUAAUAUAAAAUUGAUUUAUAGGUUUUGAUGCAACCUGGAGCCCUAAUGCCACCUAUUACAAGGAGCUGGUAUAGGAGUCGAUAUCAAUGUGCUUAGGGUUGGGCGACUCCAUAUGUACCCACCAUUGAGAUGUUUCAUGAUUUAAUUUCUGAGAAUGUUAUCACAUAAGAUACUAUUGAUUUGGAUGUUGAUGUAUGAUGUAUUGUAUUAUAAAUGUUGUAUGACAAUGUAAUCAAGGAAGAUACUAUGUAUUUGAAUGAUGAUAUAUAAUCUAUUGUAUUAUUAUUGUUCUAUGAUGGUUUAGAUGCCAAUGUCACUUUGAAUAUUGAUGGUAGUGUGAAAGUUACAUACAACCGUUAAAAAAUUUAUAAGCAUAGGAGAUUACAACAGUAAGAUCAUAUAAUAUGGAAAAAUUUUGCAAAAAUAUCAUAACGUACAAAAUGACUUAUUAAAAUAUAUUGUUUGCAAAAUAAUAUUUUAUAACCAUAUAAUGUGGACAUAAAAUGCUUGCAAAAUUUCAUAAUAUAACAGAUGGAAAAUAAGGCUUUUGGGUUACCUUUUGAAAUGCCUUAAAAUUCUGAUUUGUUUUUUUACUGACCAAUUUUCUCGCUUCAAGUCAUGAAUGGAACUACAAAUACAAGAACCAUUCUUUUCUCAUAGCACAAGAGCCUUGACCUUUGUUUUCACAGAGAAAAAAUGAAUAAAAUUCGAGAAAAGAACUUAUUUCUUCAUAAAGAAGAAUUGUAUUCUUUCUUUUGUUUUUAAGGAGAGAAGAAAACAUAUUUUAAAAAAAAUUAAUUGUCACAGCUUUUGGGAAGUUUUAAAACUCCCAAAACUAUUCCCCUAUUUUCUCACAUUUAUUGGGUUGGAUCAGGUUAGCCCACUUGGGCACCCAUACCCAACUCUAACAUCCCCCACUUACACAAGAUGGGUUGAACUAGCUUGAUCACUCAUCCAAGUCCAUUAUGUUCCACUUUUGAAGGUCAUUCAUACAGGUAAAUGGGUCGUGUGACCAUGUAAGCACACCUACAAUUUGGGAGCUAUAAUUUGGUAACCAACACAGACCAGCUCCUCAUUGAGAUUGUCCAUGCUACAUAGUUGAUAAUUUAGAAAAGCAAAAUGGCUCAUAAUACAAAAAGUCAAACAUCAGAUCAAAUUCCUUUUUCUGCCCCCCAAAAGUAUCGUGAUAUACAAUGUUAUGUUACCUAAAAAAUAUAUAAGCCUGACCUAAAAAGUACCGUGAUAUUACAUCCCAUACUGCUUCUAAUCCAUAAGAAGCUCCCAAAGGUAAUCCUAGAUAAAUGUAAGGAAGUUUCCUCACCUUUGCAACCCAAUUCAGUAGUUAGACUAUCUACAUCUGUGACCUUUCCAAUUGAAAUCAAUUCACUUUGAUCCAAUUUGAUUCUAAGCACUAAUAAUGCCUUAAACCAUAUGAGUAUCCAACUUAGAUAAGUCAUUUGCUCUUGAGAAUUCUCAUAGAAGACCAAAGUGUCAUCUGCAAAUAAUAGAUGGGACACAACCACCCCCUCUCCCCCCUCCCUUUCACCCUAAAACUUGAUAAGUAACCCCCCUCUUAGGCUCUCUCCAACAAGCAACUCAAGACCUCCAUAACCAAAACAAACAAAAAAAAAAAAAGGACAAAGGAUCCCAAUGUCUCAGCGCUCUAGAAAUUUUAAAAGAAACCAAAAGGAGUUCCAUUAACCAACACUGAAAACUUUGCUAUGGAAAUGUACUAUUACAUCCAUCUAAUCCAUUUAUGGUUAAAACCCCCUUUUUUUUUUUUUCAUAACUACAAUCAGAAAAACCCAAUUGACAUGGCCAUAUGCUUUUUCUAUGUCCAACUUGCAAAUGACACCAUUGGAGUUGACCUUCAAGGUUAAAUCAAUUGCUUCAUUCACUACAAGGGAUGCAUCUAAAAUUUGUCUCUCCUCUACAAAGGCGUUCCGAAACUUAGAAACCACUUUUCCCCACCACUUGCUUCAAUUUAUUUGCCAACACCUUUGCCAAAAGUUUGUAAAGACCCUAUUAAACCUAUUAGUCUAAAAUCUUUCAAAUCCUCUACACCCCCCUUCUUUAAGAUUAAAGACAAAAAAGUAACAUUUAAACUUCUUUCGAGCUUGCUAUUAGCUUUUGGUUAAUAAUUCAAAUGGGGGGGAUAACAAUGAGAGGAGUUAAGUCCAAUUUUGAGGAGAUGUUACCUUUGUGUAUCCUUAAUGGACUCAUACCUUUGUGUACAAUUUUCGUUGUAUAUAUAGUGGAGGCGUUUAGUCUUACUUUGAUUAGGAUUUUGUAUUUUGUGAGAAAGAGCUCUCAUAUUUCUUUUGUACCUUUUUCAUAGUUAAUAUAUCUUAUGUUCCUAAUAAAUAAAUAUAUACAUAUAUAUUAAUGAAAGGAGCUAUAUGGCAAGGUGCAUAGGUUGUAUACAAGAUAAAAGUCAAAAUAUAAUUCCUUUUCAUAAUUAUAAUUACAAAAUAUAAUUAUGUAUUUUUUAAUCGAAGUACUCAAUUAUAUUAGGUUUAUUUCAUAUAAAUAUAUUUUGAGUUUAUUAUGUAUGUAAUUUUUUAUUAAUAUUUGUUGGAAAAAUAAUUAAUACUUAUUAAAAAAUUUUAAAGGCAAUACUUACUAAAUUUUUUUUAAGAAAUACCGACCCUAAUCUAAAAAGGGUAUAAUUGAAGUUCAUAAGAGAUCAAAAUUUCAAUUACAAAUUUGGUGACCGUUUUGAAUACUUGUCAACUAAUUAUAAAUAUUUUGGAUAAUUUUUCCAUGGCCAAAUUGAAAGAAAGGCAAAUAAUUAAAGAGAUUGGAAUGGAUCUCUACUUCUCUAGAAAGGAACCCGCCAUUGAAAUUAUUGAAUGCAGCCAAAAGCAUCAAUUAAUGUGAUGGAGAUUCGUCUUUGUCUUUGAUACACGUGGGUGAGUAAACGUCCAUAUGAGAAAAUAACAUUAUUAACGUUAUAUAACCUCUCACAUUAAAUAUUACUUGAAUCAGGUAGAAUAGAUUUGAAAUGGAGGGAACUUAAUGUGAAAAGAAAAUAAGGGUGCACCAUCUCUAUCUGUUUUCCAUUAACAAAUUAACCAAAGUGCAAAUUCAACGAUUGGGAUUUAUUUUGAUCUGAGAGUUUUGAGAAGCUGUUUGUUGAAAUGUCUGAAUGAAUGACUUGGGUUUCAGCUCAUGAAUCUAGAAAUAUACCACAUGAAAGGCCUCUUCUUUUUUGAAAGACGCAAUACAAGCUUUUACAGGAGUGCAAUAUAUAACAUAUUCGAAAGAACAAUACUUUGAAGGGAUUGUCCAAAUUAAUAAAACAGAAUACCAAGUCAAAAUUACAACUUUACAUCAUGGAGAAGGGAGGACCCUCAACUAGCAUGACCCAGCAGCUCACCCAAUGUUAUCAUGGGAAACGGUUUUGACAAUGGUGGCCACUGUGUUGGGAGUGCUCGACCAACUUGUUGCAUAGUCGGCCGAGAUUGGGGAUUAAUACGCAAGCAUGCAAAUGCUAACUUCACUACAGCCACUACUUCCUCAGCCACUUGAUUCACAGGAGGUGAGGGGCGCUGGUCCAUCACAUCAUUCAACAGGCGAUGGUCCACAGUUGAUGGUGAUGAGAAUGAUGAGGACGCUGACGAUAACAGGGACGAGAUGAGUUCUCC
This 16352-nucleotide long non-coding RNA is filed under the name Vitis vinifera (wine grape). RNAcentral describes it as "long non-coding RNA (VVIN_LNC006902)". Lineage: Eukaryota; Viridiplantae; Streptophyta; Magnoliopsida; Vitales; Vitaceae. The record is from RNAcentral.